GCUGAGUGGGGAGGAGAGAGGGACAGAGAGCCUGCUUCUUUAAAGGAGCAAAGCGGGAGAGGAGAGGAGCCACUUACACGAGUGUAAGCGGCUCCUGUCCGGUUGGUUCCUUUAAAGCAAGCAGGCUCUCUGUCCCUCUCUCCUCCCCACUCAGC
This 155-nucleotide microRNA precursor is filed under the name Podarcis lilfordi (Lilford's wall lizard). Lineage: Eukaryota; Metazoa; Chordata; Lepidosauria; Squamata; Lacertidae. The record is from RNAcentral.